GCUCCCUGAGAUUAGCGGCGGACGGGUGAGUAACACGUGGGCAACCUGCCUAUAAGACUGGGAUAACUUCGGGAAACCGGAGCUAAUACCGGAUACGUUCUUUUCUCGCAUGAGAGAAGAUGGAAAGACGGCCUCUAGCUGUCACUUAUAGAUGGGCCCGCGGCGCAUUAGCUAGUUGGUGAGGUAAUGGCUCACCAAGGCGACAAUGCGUACCCAACCUGAGAGGGUGAUCGGCCACACGGGGACUGAAACACGGCCCAAACUCCUACGGGAGGCAGCAGUAGGGAAUCUUCCGCAAUGGACAAAAGUCUGACGGACCACCCCCGCGUGAACAAAAAAGGCCUUCGGGUCGUAAAGUUCUGUUGUUAGGGAAAAACAAGUCCCAAAGUACCUGCGGGUCCCUUGACGGUCCCUAACCAAAAAGCCACGGCUAACUACGUGCCAGCAGCCGCGGUAAUACGUAGGUGGCAAGCGUUGUCCGGAAUUAUGGGGCGUAAAGCGCGCGCAGGUGGUUCUUUAAGUCUGAUGUGAAACCCCACGGCUCACCCGUGGAGGGUCAUUGGAAACUGGGGAACUUGAGUGCAAAGAGGAAAGUGGAUUCAAGUGUAGCGGUGAAUGCGUAGAGUUUGGAGGAACCCAGUGGCAAGGCGACUUUUGGUCUGAACUGACCUGAGGCCGAAGCGGGGGAGAAACAGGAUAAAACCCUGGUGUCCCGCCGUAACGAGAUGCUAGUGUAGAGGGUUCCCCCUUUAUGCUGCACUAACCAUAAGCCUCCCCUGGGAUACGCCGCAGGCUGAACUCAAGGAUUGACGGGGCCGCACAGCGGGGACAUGGGUUUAUUCGAGCACGC
This 850-nucleotide ribosomal RNA is filed under the name Bacillota bacterium. Its description in RNAcentral is "bacterial SSU rRNA". It matches the Rfam family "Bacterial small subunit ribosomal RNA", at positions 81 to 962 of the family's 1533-position model. Lineage: Bacteria; Bacillati; Bacillota. The record is from RNAcentral.